Sinocyclocheilus grahami is the source of this 452-nucleotide long non-coding RNA. RefSeq lists it as uncharacterized. The transcript is spliced from 3 exons. Lineage: Eukaryota; Metazoa; Chordata; Actinopteri; Cypriniformes; Cyprinidae. The record is from RefSeq and is a predicted model, not a curated record.
UGGCUCUAACCGGCCAGAUCUCUGAAUAUGGAUUCAUGCGCAGGAGUCAAAUUUGUACAUGAAUUUAAUAUCAGAGUCCUUUCCAAGAAAAACAAAUAUUCAGCAAAUCUAGACAUUAGACUCAUGUUUAAUACAUAAAGACAAUCGCAGUGCAACAUCAAACAAGGAGACACUGGCAGACUAUACAGCGAACUAAAUAAAUCACGGAGGAAUUUCAGACGAACAACUCAUAAACUUGAGGAAGCUGUCGUUGGGCUGCGCGAAGAAGCAUAUUCAGCGUGGAUGAGGCACACGCUUGUGAGUCUGAGACUGGAUGAAGGAUCAUUAGACAGCUGAGUUCGAUAGGUGUCUGGGUCAUAAGGUGGAAGAUGUAGGAGCGAGGAAACGAUUUCGCUGCGAUUGGAGAUGCAGAUCCACCGGUCAGUGUGGUUUGGCCUGUUAAACGGAUAGUU